This 588-nucleotide ribosomal RNA is filed under the name uncultured bacterium. RNAcentral's name for it is "partial 16S ribosomal RNA". It matches the Rfam family "Bacterial small subunit ribosomal RNA", at positions 355 to 1375 of the family's 1533-position model. The record is from RNAcentral.
UGGGGAAUUUUGGACAAUGGGCGAAAGCCUGAUCCAGCAAUGCCGCGUGUGUGAAGAAGGCCUUCGGGUUGUAAAGCACUUUUGUCCGGAAAGAAAUCCUUGGCUCUAAUACAGUCGGGGGAUGACGGUACCGGAAGAAUAAGCACCGGCUAACUACGUGCCAGCAGCCGCGGUAAUACGUAGGGUGCAAGCGUUAAUCGGAAUUACUGGGCGUAAAGCGUGCGCAGGCGGUUUGCUAAGACCGAUGUGAAAUCCCCGGGCUCAACCUGGGAACUGCAUUGGUGACUGGCAGGCUAGAGUAUGGCAGAGGGGGGUAGAAUUCCACGUGUAGCAGUGAAAUAGCGUAGAGAUGUGGAGGAAUACCGAUGGCGAAGGCAGCCCCCUGGGCCAAUACUGACGCUCAUGCACGAAAGCGUGGGGAGCAAAACAGGAUUAGAUACCCUGGUAGUCCACGCCCUAAAACGAUGUCAACUAGUUGUUGGGGAUUCAUUUCCUUAGUAACGUAGCUAACGCGUGAAGUUGACCGCCUGGGGAGUACGGUCGCAAGAUUAAAACUCAAAUGAAUUGACGGGGUCAUAGCUGUUUCCU